UCUAGUCCAUCGCCUUAACCACUCGGCCACAACGACACACUGUUCAAAUGCAUGUGGAUUCAAACCUGCGAGGGGAGACCCCAAUGGAUUUCUAGUCCAUCACCUUAACCACUCAGCCACAACAACACACACUGUAAUACGCACCGUCCAAAUGCAUGUGGUGAGUAUCUCAUAUUACACCACGAGAUUUUAAACAAAAAUUUGGAUCGUUGUCGGCAGGACCCGAACCUGCAGGGGUAGACCCCAAUGGAUUUCAAGUGCAUCGCCUUAACCACUCGGCCACAACAACACAGUAAACAAGUUUGGCCAAGGUCCUCACAUUGUCAAAAUGCGUAUGGCAAGGAGCUAGCAACACAACGAGAAUCUAAUACAAAAUCUGUAUCGUUGUUGGCAGGUGUCAAUCGUGCACUUAUGUAUCUGAUGUAAGUGACUGGCUCUCCGUUUAAAGGGUAAAAUUUUGUACUUUAGUCCCUCUGCAAUAACGCAGUAUGUAGGGGAGACGAGAAUUAAUUUAAGCCAGUACGGAAAGAAGAUUCGUUCCGAGUCUAACCGCUGUUCAGGUAACUAAUCUAUUGUUAGAUUAAUUCCGUCAUUUCCGGACGCCAGUCCCUUUUAAAGCAAAGAGAUCCCGGUGUUGAGUAAUUCCUUUUCGAGACCCGGGAUCAAAUUGAUCGUGGCCAUUUCAGCGGCUCUUCUUUCCUAUAAUGAUUGGGGCUUUUGUUAACUGCUCAGAAUAGAUUUAGCUGUCUUUGUUAAGACCGCAGGAACUCGUUUAUUUACACUAGCGUGCACCCACACUAGCUGAGCUCAAGUUAACUGUUUCGAACCAGAUUCUGACACUUCCUGAUGUCAAGGAUUAAAGCUGUCUUCAUUUAAAAAAGAACUGAACGGUUUACAGUAUGACUAUGAUAGAGAAACAAAACAGAUUUAAAGCAUAAAAGAUCAAAAUAAUCAUUAAUCAAAAUUAAAUGAUUGUAAAGUAGAAAUUUAAUGAAUAACCAAGAAAACGAAUUACAAGUUUCAAUUGUUCGAACAACUAACAAUAAUUUCCACUCACCACUCAAUAGAGCAAAGAUUAUUCAGUCUCGAAGUUUUCUCUAUUGAAAACUCAAAAACAUAGUGAAAAAGGGUAGGAGGCUAGAGGUCUAAAAUGCUAUUUGGUGGAAAAGUCGAGUGAUCAGUUCUCCUUGUUCCAAAAAUCUGAAUUCUGUUUAAAAGAACAGGCUGG
Syngnathus acus (greater pipefish) is the source of this 1228-nucleotide long non-coding RNA. RefSeq lists it as uncharacterized. The record is from RefSeq and is a predicted model, not a curated record. Lineage: Eukaryota; Metazoa; Chordata; Actinopteri; Syngnathiformes; Syngnathidae. The transcript is spliced from 2 exons.